RNAcentral lists this ribosomal RNA (370 nucleotides) under uncultured organism. RNAcentral describes it as "bacterial SSU rRNA". It matches the Rfam family "Bacterial small subunit ribosomal RNA", at positions 526 to 896 of the family's 1533-position model. The record is from RNAcentral.
CGAAGGGGGCUAGCGUUGCUCGGAAUUACUGGGCGUAAAGGGCGCGUAGGCGGAUAGUUUAGUGAGAGGUGAAAGCCCAGGGCUCAACCUUGGAACUGCCUUUCAUACUGGCUAUCUUGAGUACGGGAGAGGUGAGUGGAACUCCGAGUGUAGAGGUGAAAUUCGUAGAUAUUCGGAAGAACACCAGUGGCGAAGGCGACUCACUGGCCCGUUACUGACGCUGAGGCGCGAAAGCGUGGGGAGCAAACAGGAUUAGAUACCCUGGUAGUCCACGCCGUAAACGAUGAGUGCUAGUUGUCGGCAUGCAUGCAUGUCGGUGACGCAGCUAACGCAUUAAGCACUCCGCCUGGGGAGUACGGUCGCAAGAUUA